Rosa rugosa (rugosa rose) is the source of this 2222-nucleotide RNA transcript. RefSeq lists it as uncharacterized. Lineage: Eukaryota; Viridiplantae; Streptophyta; Magnoliopsida; Rosales; Rosaceae. The record is from RefSeq and is a predicted model, not a curated record. The transcript is spliced from 13 exons.
UCCUUCCCUUAGCUAAAAAAUUAGGUCAUUCGAUCUCCCACCCAAACCGCGCGCGCUCUCGGCCUCUUUGGACUGAUCACCAAAAUCGUGUUCCCUCCCUUGGCUGAAAAAUUAGGUCAUAUUCUCCCACCCAAAAUCGCUCUCAGCCUCUCUGACUCACCAAAAUCGUGUUCCCUCCCUUAGCUAAAAAAUUAGGUCAUUCUCCCACCCAAAAUCGCUCUCAGCCUUUCUCUUACUCACCAUUGCUCUCAGCCUCGUUCUGACUCACUAUCAAUCCCCCUCACACUCAAUCCCGUUCACCCACUAUUUCUCUCCCUUCCAAUUCAAGACCCUUUUGAUUCUUCCUCACCUUUCCAAUUCAAGACUUCUUGAAGUUCUCUUCUCUUUCGUUCUUAAAGCAGUUGGCGGACUCGGCGCUCACCUUCUUCACCCUCUCCAGGACUUCGACUUCGUCCAGUUCCAGUUCAGUCGGCACUCGGCAGUCGUAUUCGAUUCUCCAAAUCUCCAGUUCGUCGCCUCCUCCUCGGCUUCUCCACUUUUGGUUCUGCAGAUCAAGAAAUCACCAGCAAUUUGGGGCAAUGAUUCAAUGAAUUCAAUAUCAAGACAUCACCAGCAAUUUGGGGCAAUGAUUCAAUGAAUUCAAUAAAUCCAGCCCGUCCAAGGUUCCAAUCCUGGAUCCGCCACUGCUCUCGACCCAAUUGCGUUUGGAGUUUUGAAUCAUCUCAGCCUCUUUUACUUAAUCAGGAUUGCACUUGGUAAUGGCUGCUAUUGUUUUGAAUGAGCUCUGGGACCUUAGGAAAUGGGGAGACUGAAAGUCAUGGAACUUAUUUAGAGGUUUGGUGUUGGAUGGGACAGAGCAGAAGAACAAUGGUGAUGGACUGGUUCAUUUGAAAUCUGACAAUUUGUAUCAUAUCAAAUGAUUAUUGCUUUGCUUGUUUCUGCUGUUAUUGUGCUUCUUACAUGUUACGGAAACGAGCUCUUUAUAAUCAGUGAGUGGCCUGUGCUUAAACCCCUUCCAUCUUAUGGUACAAGAAGAGAUGCAGCAGCUGGUAUGGAAGGUACUCCACUUUCAUAAUUGGAACAAAACUCACUGACACUACUAGUACAAACCAGGAUGUUCCUCCCUCAGAUCUCCUUUGAUCUACUUCAACCAUGGAGGCGAUUGAAGAGUUGUUGCAACUGUCAGACUCGAUGCGCUAAGGCCAGGCCAUCCUCGCCGACGAAGACUCUACUGCCUCCUCUCGCCGCUCCUCAACUUUCUUCAACGUCGUCGGUCUCGGCAAUGUUUACUGAUAGCUAGAGUGUGGAUAUUGCAUAUCGAAUUAGCAUGGGCAGAUAAGGUCAUUGUAUAUAGAUUAAUGACUUGUGCGACUGUUGAAGAAAAGAUAUACAGAAAACAGACGCCUCUUUUCUUCUCCUCGAGCAGUCGACCUAGAACCCUUCUCCUCCAGCAGUCGACCUAGAACCCAAUUGAGCAACAGAUUGGAGCGAACCCAGAUCAGAGCUAGACCCCAAAUCGUCAACAGAUCAGAGCGAUCUCCGAUCCCAGACGACCAACAGAUCAGAGCGAUCUCCGAUCUCAGACGACCAACCCAGAUCAGAGCGAUCUCCGAUCUCAGACGACCAACCCAGAUCAGAGCGAUCUCCGAUCCCAGACGACCAACAGAUCGGUACCAUGUGAGAACGAAGGAGAGAACCGCCGCGAACAACAGAACCCGGACGAGCGUGUCGCUGAGCUGAUCCAUCAGGAGCUUCAGGAUCGACUAAUCCUCGUGCUUCUCCAGUUCGUUCCAUCCGUACACCGCCCGACGCUUCUCGACUUCCUCCUCCGACAGCCCCGAGGCUCUGCUGACCUUGAACUCGUCCUCGCAUUCCUGAAGAAACUGAACCUAUAUUGGAUGAGGCUGCGGUGCAAAAUAUAUUUUUAAAGUCCCUAGACAACUAUAUAAAGUGGUGUAACUACUUGUGCAUUCAGCCAGUUUGGAGCAAUUUGCAGUCAGUUAGGAAGGAGAAAAAGCUACUGUUUGUUUCCAUGUACUGUUUGAUCUGGGGUGAAGCAGCCAAUUGAAAGCUUGGAGUUAGGCUCAUUAGGCAAGCAUUGGAAGCGGAUGAUUGGCUUAGCUCUGACUUAAACAAAUUGAGAUAACAAAGCGUGCUAAUCCGAAGAAGAGAAUCAGAGAUUCAUUUGAUGAUGACAAUGAAGACCUGGAAAACUUGCCGAC